This is a long non-coding RNA of Rhagoletis zephyria (snowberry fruit fly), 93 nucleotides long. RefSeq lists it as uncharacterized. The record is from RefSeq and is a predicted model, not a curated record. Lineage: Eukaryota; Metazoa; Arthropoda; Insecta; Diptera; Tephritidae.
CGACAUAUCGUUAGUGGUUUGUUAUUAGGUGUGCAUUCACAACACUAGAAAUAUUUUUUUUAGUUUUUUCCUACGCGUAGGUUUGAAAUUAAA